Molecule: long non-coding RNA, 1453 nt
Filed under: Macaca fascicularis (crab-eating macaque)
Lineage: Eukaryota; Metazoa; Chordata; Mammalia; Primates; Cercopithecidae
Description: lncRNA (ENSMFAG00000052701.1)
Source: RNAcentral
UUUUUUUUUUUUUUUUCAGACAGAAUCUCGUUCUGUCACCCAGGCUAGAGUGCAGUGGUGCGAUCUCAGCUCACCGCAAACUCUGCCUCCUGGGCCUCAGCCACCCGAGUAGCUGGGAUUACAGGUGUGUACCACCACUCCUGGCCAAUUUUUGUAUUUUUAGUAGAGACAGAGAUUUGCCAUGUUGGCCAAGCUGGUCUUGAACUCCUGGCCUCAAGUGAUCCACCCACCUCGGCCUCCCAAAGUGCUGGGAUUACAGGUAUGAACCACCACACCUGGCCAGGUUUCAUCUUUAAAGUGUCCAGCUCUGACCAUCUGUGUAGUAAAGAAUUAGGCAGCCUUUGUCUUUGGUUUCUGGGAAGUAACCCCUAAUCCUUUGGAAUUUCCUGAGUGAUAGGAGUAUUCAUUAUUCAUGGUAGACCCCAGGGAUCCCACUUGAUAGUUUCUGCUAACACAGUGACUCAUGGAGGACCCCUGGAUAGUUUGUUUGCAAGAGACAGGCUGAGAGCUGGCCACACGGAAAAGCCAACCAUGUAGUUAGAGUUGGGGCUUUUGAGUCAUGUGAUACCAGUCCAACUUCCAGGAAGGAAAAGGGGGCUAGAGGGUGAGUUCAACCACAUAGCCAGUGAUUCAAUCAUGCCUAAAUAACGAAGCCUCAAUAAAAACUCUUGAUACCAAAGCUCAGGAGAGGUCCCUGGUCAGAGUAUUGUCAUGCUUUGACACUGCGAGGGCAAUGUGUCCCUGAGAAUGAGGGAAGCUUCACAUUUGGAACCCUCCCAGACUUUGCCCCAGGCACCUCUUGUUUCUGGUUUGUCCUUUUUGCUAUAAUAGAACUGCAAUCGUAACAUAGCUUUUUCUGGAGUUCUGUGAGUUGUUCUAACAAAUUACUGAGCAGAGAGAGGCUGUGGGAAACUCCAAAUUUGCAGCCAGCUAGUUAGAAGUAAGGAUGGCCUGGGGACCCCUGAACUUGCUGCUGGUGUCUGAGGGCAGUUUUGUGGAGGAAUGUGCCCUUAAUGUUGAGUUCCCAUUUGUUAAGUGUACAAUUCAAGAGUUUUUGGUAGGUUCACAGAACUGUGCAGCUGUCAUCCCCAACAUCUUUUUUGAACUUUCAAAUUUCUGAUCUGGUUCAAUCAAAAAGGAACCUCCAAUCCAGGUUCAUGCACUGGAUUUGAUUAUUUCAUUUAGAACACAAUUUUUUUUAAAUUUUAAUAUUAGUGACUUUUUUUUUUUGAGACAGGGUCUUGCUUACUUCUGUUGCCCAGGCUGGAGUGCAGUGGUGCGAUCACAGUUCACUGCAGCCUCAACCUCCUGGGGUCAAGUAAUCCUCCCACCUCAGCUUCCCAAGCAGCUGGGACCACAGGUGCGCAUCACCACGUCCAGCUAAUUAAAAAAAAUUUUUUUUGUAGAGAUGGGGGUCUCACUAUGUUGCUCAGGCUGGUUGCAAACUCCUGGG